UGCAAGUCGAACGCUUUGUGGUCCAACUGAUUUGAAGAGCUUGCUCAGAUAUGACGAUGGACAUUGCAAAGAGUGGCGAACGGGUGAGUAACACGUGGGAAACCUACCUCUUAGCAGGGGAUAACACUUGGAAACAAGUGCUAAUACCGUAUAACACUAAUAACCGCAUGGUUAUUAGUUAAAAGAUGGUCUUGCUAUCACUAAGAGAUGGUCCCGCGGUGUAUUAGCUAGUUGGUAAGGUAAUGGCUUACCAAGGCAAUGAUACAUAGCCGAGUUGAGAGACUGAUCGGCCACAAUGGGACUGAGACACGGCCCAUACUCCUACGGGAGGCAGCAGUAGGGAAUCUUCCACAAUGGACGAAAGUCUGAUGGAGCAACGCCGCGUGUGUGAUGAAGGGUUUCGGCUCGUAAAACACUGUUGUAAGAGAAGAAUGACAUUGAGAGUAACUGUUCAGUGUGUGACGGUAUCUUACCAGAAAGGAACGGCUAAAUACGUGCCAGCAGCCGCGGUAAUACGUAUGUUCCAAGCGUUAUCCGGAUUUAUUGGGCGUAAAGCGAGCGCAGACGGUUAUUUAAGUCCGAAGUGAAAGCCCACAGCUUAACUGUGGAAGUGCUUUGGAAACUGGAUAACUUGAGUGCAGUAGAGGAGAGUGGAACUCCAUGUGUAGCGGUGAAAUGCGUAGAUAUAUGGAAGAACACCAGUGGCGAAGGCGGCUCUCUGGACUGUAACUGACGUUGAGGCUCGAAAGUGUGGGUAGCAAACAG
This 765-nucleotide ribosomal RNA is filed under the name Weissella viridescens. RNAcentral describes it as "bacterial SSU rRNA". It matches the Rfam family "Bacterial small subunit ribosomal RNA", at positions 56 to 775 of the family's 1533-position model. The record is from RNAcentral. Lineage: Bacteria; Bacillati; Bacillota; Bacilli; Lactobacillales; Lactobacillaceae.